Molecule: transfer RNA, 93 nt
Filed under: Actinoplanes philippinensis
Lineage: Bacteria; Bacillati; Actinomycetota; Actinomycetes; Micromonosporales; Micromonosporaceae
Description: tRNA-Pro
Source: RNAcentral
CCCACAUGGCGAGGCCGUGCGCCGCGAGGAUGGGCGCUUCGAGGGCGAGCAGGGCGCGCCCGAGCGGGCCGAUCAUCGCCGCCAGGUCGGGCC